RNAcentral lists this ribosomal RNA (265 nucleotides) under uncultured bacterium. Its description in RNAcentral is "partial 16S ribosomal RNA". It matches the Rfam family "Bacterial small subunit ribosomal RNA", at positions 524 to 777 of the family's 1533-position model. The record is from RNAcentral.
UACGUAGGUGGCGAGCGUUGUCCGGAUUAUUGGGCGUAAAGCGCGCGCAGGCGGUGCGGUAAGUCUGUCGUGAAAUCUCCCCGGCUCAAACUGGGGAGGGUGCGGUGGAGACUGCCGGACUGGAGGCACUCGAGAGGCCGGUGGAAUUCCCGGUGUAGUGGUGAAAUGACGUAGAGAUCGGGAGGAACAUCUGGUGGCGGAAGGCGGCCGUCUGGACCAGCACUGACACUGGAAGGCACGGAAAGGCGUGGGGAUGCAAACACGG